AGAGUUUGAUCCUGGCUCAGGAUGAACGCUGGCGGCGUGCUUAACACAUGCAAGUCGAACGAUGAAGCCCAGCUUGCUGGGUGGAUUAGUGGCGAACGGGUGAGUAACACGUGAGUAACCUGCCCUUAACUCUGGGAUAAGCCUGGGAAACUGGGUAAAAUACCGGAUAGGAGCGUCCACCGCAUGGUGGGUGUUGGAAAGAUUUAUCGGUUUUGGAUGGACUCGCGGCCUAUCAGCUUGUUGGUGAGGUAAUGGCUCACCAAGGCGACGACGGGUAGCCGGCCUGUAAGG
This 291-nucleotide ribosomal RNA is filed under the name Micrococcus luteus. Its description in RNAcentral is "partial 16S ribosomal RNA". It matches the Rfam family "Bacterial small subunit ribosomal RNA", at positions 8 to 299 of the family's 1533-position model. Lineage: Bacteria; Bacillati; Actinomycetota; Actinomycetes; Micrococcales; Micrococcaceae. The record is from RNAcentral.